This 93-nucleotide non-coding RNA is filed under the name Gracilibacillus phocaeensis. RNAcentral's name for it is "Purine riboswitch". It matches the Rfam family "Purine riboswitch aptamer". Rfam says of the family: Riboswitches are metabolite binding domains within certain messenger RNAs that serve as precision sensors for their corresponding targets. Allosteric rearrangement of mRNA structure is mediated by ligand binding, and this results in modulation of gene expression. Lineage: Bacteria; Bacillati; Bacillota; Bacilli; Caryophanales; Bacillaceae. The record is from RNAcentral.
AAAAAAGAAUAAACACCUCAUAUAAUUUGGGAAUAUGGCUCAAAAGUUUCUACCCGUUACCGUAAAUGAUGGACUAUGAGGGAAGAUGAUUGA